This 253-nucleotide ribosomal RNA is filed under the name uncultured bacterium. Its description in RNAcentral is "partial 16S ribosomal RNA". It matches the Rfam family "Bacterial small subunit ribosomal RNA", at positions 524 to 776 of the family's 1533-position model. The record is from RNAcentral.
GACGGGGGAGGCAAGCGUUAUCCGGAAUCACUGGGCGUAAAGCGUCUGUAGGUGGUGAUGCAAGUCACUGGUGCAAAACUCUGGCUCAACCGGAGGAAAGCCAGUGAAACUGCAUGACUAGAGUGUGGGAGAGGUAGAAGGAAUUCCCUGAGUAGCGGUGAAACGCGUAGAUACAGGGAAGAACACCGGAGGCGAAAGCGUUCUGCUGGAACACAACUGACACUGAGAGACGAAAGCUAGGGGAGCGAAUGGG